This 253-nucleotide ribosomal RNA is filed under the name uncultured bacterium. Its description in RNAcentral is "partial 16S ribosomal RNA". It matches the Rfam family "Bacterial small subunit ribosomal RNA", at positions 524 to 776 of the family's 1533-position model. The record is from RNAcentral.
UACGGAGGGUGCGAGCGUUAAUCGGAAUAACUGGGCGUAAAGGGCACGCAGGCGGGCUUUUAAGUGAGAUGUGAAAUCCCCGGGCUCAACCUGGGAACUGCAUCUGAUACUGGCAAGCUUGAGUCUCGUAGAGGGGGGUAGAAUUCCAGGUGUAGCGGUGAAAUGCGUAGAGAUGUGGAGGAAUACCGGUGGCGAAGGCGACUUUCUGGCCAUUAUCUGACGCUGAGGUACGAAAGCGUGGGGAGCAAACAGG